Molecule: ribosomal RNA, 484 nt
Filed under: uncultured bacterium
Lineage: Bacteria
Description: partial 16S ribosomal RNA
Rfam family: Bacterial small subunit ribosomal RNA
Source: RNAcentral
AUUGAACGCUGGCGGCAGGCCUAACACAUGCAAGUCGAGCGGAUGAAGGGAGCUUGCUCCUGGAUUCAGCGGCGGACGGGUGAGUAAUGCCUAGGAAUCUGCCUGGUAGUGGGGGAUAACGUCCGGAAACGGGCGCUAAUACCGCAUACGUCCUGAGGGAGAAAGUGGGGGAUCUUCGGACCUCACGCUAUCAGAUGAGCCUAGGUCGGAUUAGCUAGUUGGUGGGGUAAAGGCCUACCAAGGCGACGAUCCGUAACUGGUCUGAGAGGAUGACCAGUCACACUGGAACUGAGACACGGUCCAGACUCCUACGGGAGGCAGCAGUGGGGAAUAUUGGACAAUGGGCGAAAGCCUGAUCCAGCUAUGCCGCGUGUGUGAAGAAGAUCUUCGGAUUGUAAAGCACUUUAAGUUGGGAGGAAGGGCAGUAAGUUAAUACCUUGCUGUUUUGACGUUACCAACAGAAUAAGCACCGGCUAACUUCGUG